AGAGUUUGAUCCUGGCUCAGAUUGAACGUUGGCGGCACGCCUUAUACAUGCAAGUCGAACGAGAAAGUACCUUCGGGUGCGAGUACAGUGGCGGACGGGUGAGUAACGCGUAGGAAUCUACCUUCAGGUGGGGGACAACUCGGGGAAACUCGAGCUAAUACCGCAUAAUACCUAAGGGUCAAAGUGGGGGAUCUUCGGACCUCACGCCAGAAGAGGAGCCUGCGUUAGAUUAGCUUGUUGGUGGGGUAAUGGCCUACCAAGGCGACGAUCUAUAGCUGGUCUGAGAGGACGAUCAGCCACACUGGAACUGAGACACGGUCCAGACUCCUACGGGAGGCAGCAGUAGGGAAUCUUGGUCAAUGGGCGCAAGCCUGAACCAGCGAUGCCGCGUGUGCGAAGAAGGCCCUAGGGUUGUAAAGCACUUUCAGUCGCGAAGAAAAGCUUAAGGUUAAUAACCUUGAGUCUUGACGUUAACGACAGAAGAAGGUCCGGCUAACUCCGUGCCAGCAGCCGCGGUAAUACGGAGGGAUCGAACGUUAAUCGGAAUUACUGGGCGUAAAGCGCGCGUAGGCGGCUUGUUAAGUGGGAUGUGAAAGCCCCGGGCUUAACCUGGGAACUGCAUUCCAAACUGGCAAGCUAGAGUAUGGUAGAGGGAGGUAGAAUUUCCUGUGUAGCGGUGAAAUGCGUAGAUAUAGGAAGGAAUACCGAUGGCGAAUGCAGCCUCCUGGACCAAUACUGACGCUGAGGUGCGAAAGCGUGUGGAGCAAACAGGAUUAGAUACCCUGGUAGUCCACGCCGUAAACGAUGAGAACUAGCCGUCGGGACCCAUGAGGUCUUUGUGGCCGC
Molecule: ribosomal RNA, 846 nt
Filed under: uncultured Thioalkalivibrio sp.
Lineage: Bacteria; Pseudomonadati; Pseudomonadota; Gammaproteobacteria; Chromatiales; Ectothiorhodospiraceae
Description: bacterial SSU rRNA
Rfam family: Bacterial small subunit ribosomal RNA
Source: RNAcentral